GUGCUCACUUCAGCAGCACAUAUGCUAAAACUGGAAUGAUACAGAGAAAAUUAGCAUGGUCCCUGCGCAAGGACUGACAUGCAAAUUCACGAAGCAUUCCAUAUUUUU
This is a small nuclear RNA of Rhinolophus ferrumequinum (greater horseshoe bat), 108 nucleotides long. The record is from Ensembl. Lineage: Eukaryota; Metazoa; Chordata; Mammalia; Chiroptera; Rhinolophidae.